Molecule: ribosomal RNA, 218 nt
Filed under: Gammaproteobacteria bacterium
Lineage: Bacteria; Pseudomonadati; Pseudomonadota; Gammaproteobacteria
Description: partial 16S ribosomal RNA
Rfam family: Bacterial small subunit ribosomal RNA
Source: RNAcentral
AAGAUUGAACUGAAGAGUUUGAUCAUGGCUCAGAUUGAACGCUGGCGGCAGGCUUAACACAUGCAAGUCGGGCGGAAACGAUGGGAGCUUGCUCUCAGGCGUCGAGCGGCGGACGGGUGAGUAACGCGUAGGAAUCUGCCUAGUAGUGGGGGAUAGCCCGGGGAAACUCGGAUUAAUACCGCAUACGCCCUACGGGGGAAAGCAGGGGAUCUUCGGAC